Molecule: non-coding RNA, 87 nt
Organism: Mycena alexandri
Lineage: Eukaryota; Fungi; Basidiomycota; Agaricomycetes; Agaricales; Mycenaceae
Source: the annotation of a GenBank genome assembly
CACCUGGUAGCACAUGGUGUGCACCUGCCUUCCUUGUAAGGAUCUGUUUGUAGGCAGGAGGUCCCCGUUCGACUCGGGGUUGGGUGA